UCUCCAGGCUUCAUGGACCCGGCCCGAGAAACAAGAGACCCUGGAUGGGCGCAUCGUAGUACGUAGCCAUGCCCGGGUGUCGUCCCUGACGCUUAAGGAAAUUCAGUACACAGAUGCCGGAGAAUAUGUAUGUACAGCCAGCAACACCAUCGGGCAGGACUCCCAAGCCAUGUACCUCGAAGUGCAGUAUGCCCCCAAGCUUCAGGGCCCAGUGGCUGUCUAUACCUGGGAGGGGAAUCAAGUGAACAUCUCGUGUGAGGUAUUUGCUUAUCCCAGUGCUGUCAUCUCCUGGUUCCGGGAUGGUCAGCUGCUUCCUAGCUCAAACUACAGCAACAUCAAGAUCUAUAACACUCCAUCAGCAAGCUACCU
Tinamus guttatus (white-throated tinamou) is the source of this 369-nucleotide non-coding RNA. Lineage: Eukaryota; Metazoa; Chordata; Aves; Tinamiformes; Tinamidae. The record is from RefSeq and is a predicted model, not a curated record.